AGCUGCAAUAGCGUACAUUGCAGUUGUUGCGGCUACAAAGCUCGUAGUUUGAUUUCUGCUGAGGAUGACCGGUCCGUCCCCUGGAGAGGCAUUUGGCUUAGCCUUGGGAUCUGCCUGGAAAAAACGUAGCUGCGCUUGACUCUGUGGUGACGUAUUUGGGACAUUCACUUUGAGUAAACUAGAGUGUUUCAAGCAAGCGCGCGCUUUCAGUGCAUUGGCAUGGAAUAAUAAAAUAGGACCUCGGUUUUAUUGUGUUGGUUUCUAGAGCUCAAGUAAUGAUUGAGAGGGAUAGUUGGGGGCAUUCGUAUUUCAUUGUCAGAGGUGACAUUCUUGCAUUUGUGAAAGACGGACUACUGCGAAAGCAUUUGCCAAGGAUGUUUUCA
This 383-nucleotide ribosomal RNA is filed under the name uncultured eukaryote. Its description in RNAcentral is "SSU rRNA". It matches the Rfam family "Eukaryotic small subunit ribosomal RNA", at positions 587 to 972 of the family's 1831-position model. The record is from RNAcentral.